RNAcentral lists this transfer RNA (73 nucleotides) under Marmota monax (woodchuck). RNAcentral describes it as "tRNA.Ser". Lineage: Eukaryota; Metazoa; Chordata; Mammalia; Rodentia; Sciuridae. The record is from RNAcentral.
GAAUGUGGCUCUAGUGGUAGCACACUUGCCUGGAAUGCAUGUGGCCUGGGUUCUAUCCUCAGCACCACAUUCA